Molecule: long non-coding RNA, 2242 nt
Organism: Oncorhynchus keta (chum salmon)
Lineage: Eukaryota; Metazoa; Chordata; Actinopteri; Salmoniformes; Salmonidae
Exons: 4
Source: RefSeq, a predicted model, not a curated record
AAACAGCUGACUCGGGCACCACUAUUACGGUGUUAACUACUACCAAUCUAAAUGGUGCUGUGUAAAAUGUGUGAAUUCUUUGAAAGAACUCAUCCACCUGGUCAAUUAAUGUCAGCAUGACAAAACAAUGAGGUCCCAUGUGGGUGCCGUGACGAGACCGUGUCCAAAGAUCCUGACAAGGAGUAUGUGGACAAAGAGAAUAUGCAUCAUUACCCCCCCACCUCAGCGUGUCAGGAGGGUACACCCUACUCUCCAUUCCCCCAGGAGGGUGUUCAGGGCUGGGGGGGGGUCAGUCUGGGGUCAGUCCAGCCCAGGGCUCCAGGAAGCUGGGCUGUCAGGGCCUCUGGGACCCCUGCUGUCUGUUUGGGUUGGAAGAGUCAAAGGGCGUGGCCAGCACAACAGGAAGGGCCCUCCUGCACUGACUGACAGGUUGGCCUUUCAGGUGUUUGCCUCUGGGAAGAGUCACCUUUAACCUGAGCUCUGCUGGAGCAAGGGAGACUGUGUUACAGUUUGCUUAGCCUGAGUUUGUAAGAGCUGCAGGUCAAAUUAUGAACGUCUGUCUGGUUUUAAAAGAGAUCACUUGUUAUGAACUUAUGGGAGGUGUACAGUGCCCAUACCUCUGACCCUAUUAGCAAUGUUUGGUCUCCACAUCUCACAUAGUGGGAACAUGAGUAGAAAUGCUCACAGUCUAUUCCCUAAACACUGCAUCUCUGAGUCCCUGAGCCGUUCCCCACAACGUUCUCUCUGCGCUCCCUGAACGUUCCUGGCUAGUGCAGUGGGGCUCCUGGUAUCCUCCAAGCAGACAGCUCUUUAAUGACUGUAGCUCCUGUGAAAAUCGCCAGCGGCGCAUUUCCACUGGAUGCCUCGAGGCUCUGGGAGCUCCUGGUAAAGCUAUCAGCAUCAGCCCUGGCACGGCCUUCUCUUGCUAAGUGGACGGUUGUAAAUAUGAGAGUGACAGAGGGGAACCCGACACCGCCCCCAACCCAACCGCAACGCAGCAACGACGCUCAGGUCCAUGUGAGCGUAAUUACACGGGUGUGGAGCAAUCACACAGCCGGCAGCACACACACACACACACACACACACACACACACACACACACACACACACACACACACACACACACACACACACACACACACACACACACACACACACACACACACACACACACACACACACACACACACACACACACACACACACACACACACACACACACACACACACACACACACACACACACAACAUACAGCAACACACACCUGUUUAGUCACACCCUUGUACACUGGCUUGAUGUUCUUCAUUCUUUUUGUACAUUUUACAUUUAAAAGGGGAAUCUGCAUUUUCUACGUCCAGUUUUGGACUUAUAAAUAUGUACCCAUUGAUUCUUGAAGAAUAUAUGUUCUAAACACCAUCAGAACCCCAAAUAUAAGCUUGUUUUACUCCAAUGCGUUUAAACACUAUAUAGCCUUAAAACAUGGCUAAAACUAGAAUUAUAAAACCAUAACAUCAUGGAUGGUCAGUCCUUGUAUCCAUGGCUCUGUCUAUACAUUUGAGAGCGGUUCGAUUUCUCCAGACCCAUCCCUCACAGCUUUUUACUGUGACAGCGGUGCGGAGAACUCUUCAUUAUUAUUGUCUCAACUGCUUAUCCCUGCAUUAGAAGUCUUGAUGAAUCUCUUUAGUCAUUUGGUUGACCGCAUAUUCCUUCAUGACUCUUCCGUCUCUUCUUCAUCUCUAAGCCCCAUCCACGUGGUUCCAUAAAUACCAAACUUGACUUCAUAUUGGCUUAUUGUCUACUGGGGUCAUUAUGGGGUCCCUAAAACUAGAUGUUUUAUAGUGAUGUGUUGUUUUACAGGGUUCAGCCAUAGUAGUACAGCGCAAAUGGAGAACAUUAGGGUUAAGUACCUUGCUCAAGGGCACGUCGGCAGAUUAUUCACCUUGUCGGCUCAGGUAUUCGAACCAGCAACUAUUCGGUUACUGGCCCAAUGCUCUAACCACUAGAACACCAGCCGCCCUCUGUAUGUAUCCAUCUGUAUGUGGCUGGGACUUCACCAGCCUUACACUUUAUUAAGCAACUAAACACUGAUUUAACAAACACACACGUCAGUCCUCAUUUCUGUCCCAAAACAGACCCUCCAAUUGCAUUAGGUGGAGUGGUUUGUUUGUCUGUCUGUAAUUGUCUGUCAUUGGCUGGUGCUUGAUUACUGUGGUGAUUCUCAUCAGGGACAAGAGUUGAUGA